This 430-nucleotide ribosomal RNA is filed under the name bacterium. RNAcentral describes it as "bacterial SSU rRNA". It matches the Rfam family "Bacterial small subunit ribosomal RNA", at positions 354 to 776 of the family's 1533-position model. RNAcentral also lists the same sequence under 1 other name. The record is from RNAcentral.
GUGGGGAAUUUUGGACAAUGGGCGAAAGCCUGAUCCAGCAAUGCCGCGUGCAGGAUGAAGGCCUUCGGGUUGUAAACUGCUUUUGUACGGAACGAAAAAGCUCCUUCUAAUACAGGGGGCCCAUGACGGUACCGUAAGAAUAAGCACCGGCUAACUACGUGCCAGCAGCCGCGGUAAUACGUAGGGUGCGAGCGUUAAUCGGAAUUACUGGGCGUAAAGCGUGCGCAGGCGGUUAUGUAAGACAGAUGUGAAAUCCCCGGGCUCAACCUGGGAACUGCAUUUGUGACUGCAUGGCUAGAGUACGGUAGAGGGGGAUGGAAUUCCGCGUGUAGCAGUGAAAUGCGUAGAUAUGCGGAGGAACACCGAUGGCGAAGGCAAUCCCCUGGACCUGUACUGACGCUCAUGCACGAAAGCGUGGGGAGCAAACAGG